AGAGUUUGAUCAUGGCUCAGGACGAACGCUGGCGGCGUGCUUAACACAUGCAAGUCGAACGGAAAGGCCCUGCUUUUGUGGGGUGCUCGAGUGGCGAACGGGUGAGUAACACGUGAGUAACCUGCCCUUGACUUUGGGAUAACUUCAGGAAACUGGGGCUAAUACCGGAUAGGAGCUCCUGCUGCAUGGUGGGGGUUGGAAAGUUUCGGCGGUUGGGGAUGGACUCGCGGCUUAUCAGCUUGUUGGUGGGGUAGUGGCUUACCAAGGCUUUGACGGGUAGCCGGCCUGAGAGGGUGACCGGCCACAUUGGGACUGAGAUACGGCCCAGACUCCUACGGGAGGCAGCAGUGGGGAAUAUUGCACAAUGGGCGGAAGCCUGAUGCAGCAACGCCGCGUGCGGGAUGACGGCCUUCGGGUUGUAAACCGCUUUCGCCUGUGACGAAGCGUGAGUGACGGUAAUGGGUAAAGAAGCACCGGCUAACUACGUGCCAGCAGCCGCGGUGAUACGUAGGGUGCGAGCGUUGUCCGGAUUUAUUGGGCGUAAAGGGCUCGUAGGUGGUUGAUCGCGUCGGAAGUGUAAUCUUGGGGCUUAACCCUGAGCGUGCUUUCGAUACGGGUUGACUUGAGGAAGGUAGGGGAGAAUGGAAUUCCUGGU
This 655-nucleotide ribosomal RNA is filed under the name uncultured bacterium. RNAcentral's name for it is "bacterial SSU rRNA". It matches the Rfam family "Bacterial small subunit ribosomal RNA", at positions 8 to 674 of the family's 1533-position model. The record is from RNAcentral.